RNAcentral lists this unclassified non-coding RNA (290 nucleotides) under Hevea brasiliensis (rubber tree). The record is from RNAcentral. Lineage: Eukaryota; Viridiplantae; Streptophyta; Magnoliopsida; Malpighiales; Euphorbiaceae.
AUCGACAGGAAAUGAUAUUGAGUUUAUUAGAUAAAGAGCAAAAAGUAGCAAGACAAGUUAUGUCUAUAACUUCAUUUAGGAUGCUUUAAGAGGGAUAAACUAAGGUCUUUAAAUUGCAUUCAAUCUCAGAUUGCUGGUUAUUGACAGUCUCCCUUGACAGAUUGAUUAAAAGUUUAUGCAUUAAUUGUUUGUAGAAAGAUACCUAGCACAUAUUCUUGUUGAAGGACCAUAUAAAUGUUGUUUGUAGAAAGAUACCUAGCACAUAUUCUUGUUGAAGGACCAUAUAAAUG